Molecule: long non-coding RNA, 644 nt
Organism: Leopardus geoffroyi (Geoffroy's cat)
Lineage: Eukaryota; Metazoa; Chordata; Mammalia; Carnivora; Felidae
Exons: 3
Source: RefSeq, a predicted model, not a curated record
UGAUGCCAGAUAAUCUGCAUGGAUUGAGCCCCGACCACGGAGCCAGCCAAGCGUUUGACUCUGGGACUUGUCAAGCCUCACACAUCUAGGAACAGGCGCGGCUGUCCCGUGCAGAGAUGCGGAAGUGAGCCAGCGCCAGGAGUGAAGCCUGGUCUUCGUGAUGUGAACGUCUGUGCUCCCUCCCGCAGGCGGCACUGCUGGGAGAGAAGGGGAGGCGGGGACCAAGAGGAGGGUGUGAAGAGGGAAGAGAAACUCAGAGUUUGGAGAGUCUGGGACGCUGGAGGGGAGGUGGACUCCGGGGAGCCGAUUCAGGAGACAGACGGCUCUAGCCAGGAAAAGCAAGCUGGCAGCCGCUGGGACCGAGCCCGUAAGCCAAAGGGCUUGGCCAAGGAGGAAGGAAACUGCCAGCACGCGCACAUCUGCACCCCAGGAGCCCAAGCUGCUCUCCGCGAAGCUGGGGUUCUGUGGAUAGCAGGGGGGACGGCACCCUCCCUAUGCGUGAGGACCCGAGGGGAACCCAAAGAGGAGACCCACAUAUUGUAAUUCAGAAGGUGCCACACCCCAGGGGCAUUCAAGGUGCGAGGACGAGGAGGGGUGGGGAGGGGGCAGGGGUGGAGAGAGAAAAUCACAAGCAGGCUCCGUGC